RNAcentral lists this ribosomal RNA (72 nucleotides) under Calanus pacificus. RNAcentral describes it as "5.8S ribosomal RNA". It matches the Rfam family "5.8S ribosomal RNA", at positions 1 to 73 of the family's 154-position model. From Rfam's summary of the family: 5.8S ribosomal RNA (5.8S rRNA) is a component of the large subunit of the eukaryotic ribosome. It is transcribed by RNA polymerase I as part of the 45S precursor that also contains 18S and 28S rRNA. Functionally, it is thought that 5.8S rRNA may be involved in ribosome translocation. The record is from RNAcentral. Lineage: Eukaryota; Metazoa; Arthropoda; Copepoda; Calanoida; Calanidae. RNAcentral also lists the same sequence under 2 other names.
ACACUAUACAGUGGAUCAUUUGGCUCGGGGGUCGAUGAAGAACGGAGCUAACUCUGUGAUGCCGUGUGAACU